UAUCUCUGUAGAGUCUGCAUAUCAAUAAGCGGAGGAAAAGAAACUAACAAGGAUUCCCUUAGUAACGGCGAGUGAAGCGGGAAGAGCUCAAAUUUGAAAUCUUCAAGGUUCUACCUUGACGAAUUGUAGUUUAAAGAAGUGUUUUCUGUUAGAUGAGUAGCAAAAGUUCCUUGGAAUGGGACAUCAUAGAGGGUGAGAAUCCCGUAUUUGGUUAUUCGAUUCUAGCUUUGUGAUUACACUUUCAAAGAGUCGGAUUGUUUGGGAAUGCAGUCCAAAAUGGGUGGUAAAUUUCAUCUAAAGCUAAAUAUUGGCGAGAGACCGAUAGCGAACAAGUACCGUGAGGGAAAGAUGAAAAGAACUUUGAAAAGAGAGUUAAACAGUACGUGAAAUUGUCAAAAGGGAAGCGUUUGACACCAGUGUUGUUUUUCCGAAAAUCAAUUACGAAUGGCUUCGAUUUUGUGUUGUAUUGACCUUAUCAGCUUUCUGCACUUUUUUCGAGUCUUUCUUAAUGCACUUUUCGGUUAACAAGUCAACAUCAAUUUCUUUUGUUGUAAAAGAGUAUUCGGAAGGUGGCUUUCUUUUCGGAGAAAGUGUUUAUAGCCCUAUACUUCUACAAUCGGAGAGAUUGAGGUCUGCAGCGUAGAUCCUUCGGGGUUAGAUACACUUAGUGCUAAGUUGUAGCUUUUCAUAGACAACUUGUUGACUAUGUUUAGUCAUGCGACUUACUCGCUUAUGCUAUUUUACCUACGCUUAGGAUGUUGACUGAUAUGUAGUCGUA
Molecule: ribosomal RNA, 778 nt
Filed under: uncultured Neocallimastigales
Lineage: Eukaryota; Fungi; Neocallimastigomycota; Neocallimastigomycetes; Neocallimastigales
Description: partial large subunit ribosomal RNA
Rfam family: Eukaryotic large subunit ribosomal RNA
Source: RNAcentral